RNAcentral lists this long non-coding RNA (966 nucleotides) under Panax ginseng (ginseng). RNAcentral's name for it is "long non-coding RNA (PGIN_LNC016529)". Lineage: Eukaryota; Viridiplantae; Streptophyta; Magnoliopsida; Apiales; Araliaceae. The record is from RNAcentral.
AGCCAUUUUCCUGAUUGAUUGACUGAGAAGGGUAUUCCGCCCUAUUGGUCUUUGGGAUUAUGGUCGCAGCAGACGAAGGCUCACCACAGUGACAGAAAGUUUCAUCGAAGUCGAUCCAGAAAUCACACUUCUGAGAAUCCACUGAGGGCACACCGCCCUGUAGACACUUGUCUUCGGAGAUGCCCAUCUAAGGCUGUCAGGUUCAGAUUUAGCACACAAAAUGCACCCAUAUUCCUAAGCAUCCGAAGAAGGUACCUCAUCCUAGGGGUUCUCGGGACUAUGGGGCAAGCAGACGAGGGAGUAAUUCAAGAAUAUAUUCACCCGAGAACACAAAAAAGGCACUCUGCCUUGAGUGUUCUCGCCAACAGCGAAGGACUCGUCACCAAAGCAGAUCUAUAGGCCGCAUUCCUGGAAAUCCAAACACUUGGGUAAAUAUUUCCAAGGUCGGUUGACAUUGUGGUCCAAAGCUGAUAAUAGUUAAAGAGAAGCUGAGGAGUCCGACAAAGCCGUUGCAGUUCUUCGGCAGAAGCAGAGUUCGUGGGUAUUGCAUGCAGAUGGAUAUUCUAUUUCGGACAUCAGUAUAGCAGGCUAUCAAGGAGUCGAUCACAAUAACAAUUCCACCGCCGGUGCAUUAUCGAAGCUGGCCACUACAGAUGCCUAUAACUUUGAUGGCAGAUGGCGUCUUUCCUUCAGAUCAGAUGCUGGCAAAGAAGACCAAGUACAAGAGUUUCCAUUUUGUUCUCAUUGAUGAUAAUCUUUAUCGAAGGACCUUUUUCGUCAUCAUUACUUAAACAUUUGGUUCCAUCCGAAGCAGGGUGUGUUCUUCGGGAAGUUCACAAAGAUAUUCGUGACAAUUAUUUGGCCUGAAGUUGUUGACCUAUAAAGCACUUCGGCAGCGAUAUUCUUGAAAGAACUGGGGAUUCAGCACAGAAAGACUUCGGGUAUUCUACUUUGGACCUAUCUCCC